GACGAACGCUGGCGGCGUGCUUAAAACAUGCAAGUCGAACGAACAGGCCAGGCUCUUGGGGGUUUCUCGAGUGGCGAGAGGGUGAGUAACACAUGUGUAACCUGCCCUUGACUGAGGGAUAACUUUAGGAAACUAGGGCUAAUACAGGGGAGGAUCUCCUGCUGCAGGGAGGGGGUUGGAAAGUUUCGGCGGUUGGGGCUGGACUAGCGGCAUAUCAGCUUGUUGGUGGGGUAGUGGCUUACCAAGGCUUUGACGGCUAUCCGGCCUGAGAGGGUGACCGGCCACAUUGGGGCUGAGGGACGGGCCAGAAUGCUACCGGAGGCAGCAGGCGGGAAUAUUGCAGAGUGGGCCGACGACUGAUGUGGCAACGCCGCGUGCGGGAAGACGGCCUUCGAGUUGUAAACCGAUUUCGCCUGUGACGAAGCGUGAGUGACGGUACUGGGUAAAGAAGCCCCGGCUAACUACGUG
RNAcentral lists this ribosomal RNA (468 nucleotides) under uncultured bacterium. Its description in RNAcentral is "partial 16S ribosomal RNA". It matches the Rfam family "Bacterial small subunit ribosomal RNA", at positions 28 to 507 of the family's 1533-position model. The record is from RNAcentral.